Molecule: non-coding RNA, 79 nt
Filed under: Paenibacillus polymyxa
Lineage: Bacteria; Bacillati; Bacillota; Bacilli; Caryophanales; Paenibacillaceae
Also listed under: 1 other name
Description: c-di-GMP sequence
Rfam family: c-di-GMP-I riboswitch aptamer
About the family: GEMM was predicted in a large-scale screen for bacterial structured RNA regulatory elements. Genes associated with GEMM are involved in a diverse array of functions, including chemotaxis regulation, signal transduction, secretion and chitin.
Source: RNAcentral
CAGGAUAAAUGGCAAACUUGUCGAAAGGCAAGGACGCAAAGCUACAGGGCCUUCUGUAUGAUGGCAGCCAGCUACCGGU